GUUUAAAGCCUUUUACCUCCGGGUGGGCGGGAAAGAGUAAAGUUUCUCAUCCUCUUCUUUCAUUUUCCCCCUGCCCGUAGAACAGAUGGACAAACUAAGCUCGGGGACAUUGAUUACCAUUAAAGAAAACGUUAGGCUUUUAACUCCAGAUGUCUUGCAGCCCUCCAUUUGAGUAGCCCCUUGCCCGGAGAACAAGCUCCUUUCCCUCUGCUCAGAUUCCCUGUGAAAUGAGGUUGGACUAGGCAUGGGGUCCGGGUGAAAAAUCCCCACACACACCCGGCCCAAGAUUCUGAAUUUUCCUGAGAGCAUAAUCCUGGAUUUUCUCCGCUGCUCCCACCGGAGCACACCUCCAAGGGCCACCAGGUGGCGCGCGGCCACCGGCCUCUGGGCCUGCUAGGCUGUCUUUCAGCGACGCCCUCAGGAAAGUACUCUUUGCAGCUACUGACCAGGGUCUGAGCCCUACCUGGCCUGCUUGAGGACAAAGAACAAGAAUACUGGUGCUUCCCCCGCCUCUCUGCUGGAUUGUGCCGCAGCUUCCUCACUGGCGGCUCAUUUCCCGCCCUCCCCUUGGCGUCCCUCCCCUUCCCUCCACUCCAUCGCCCCGCCAGUUCUUUAGCUCCUCUGUGUGAUUCCUUACGUUUAAAUCCUUGUCCUGGCGUUUGCAUUCCUUCCUGUUCUGACCCCGUCUACAUUUCUUAUCGCACCCCUUCCCUCACCUGCUACGCAAGUUUUGCAACGCUUUCCUAGUACUUGGGGGGUUACCAACAUUGUGCUUCAUUCUUUAUCCUUUAUCUGUGUUGACUACUGUUCUGAGAGAUUUACAUUAACAUUUUGUUGCCUAAACCUCAGGGUCUCUCAAGGAGGUAGCCUAGCUAUUGCCCUUAUCAUACACUGAUGAAAUCCCCUAGAGGUAAGAUUCCAACCCCAGCUGGUCAGAAAGCUGGAAUGCUGAUUUCACCCAUCCCACUUCCAAUGCUUUUUCAUCUUUAUAGGUUGUUAAAAUACUUCUUCAGUGGCACCUUCCUUAAUACUUCCAACCAAGGAACAACUAGUUCUCCUCUAUAUUACCGCAAGGGUCUGUUGAACUCUGUGCAGACUGUAAGAAAUGGUCUCAGUGAUGGCUUCCUCACCACCAUUUCUGAGCUCCCCCAAGGGCAGGGAGCAAUGCUGGCCUCUCCUACAAGGAGAGGAGAUUCUGUAGCAUUGGGGGAAAGAAGAAACAGAAGAGAUGGAUCCUCUGCGCUAUUCCCUCAGCUCUGCCUUCUAAAAUAUAUCAGAAUUUUCCCAUCUAUCACAGGCUUCUGAACCUCCCAAAAGCCUUCCCAGAUCCUCCUGACUACUCAAAGCUCUUUAUUAUCUCAUCAUUGUAAC
This 1371-nucleotide long non-coding RNA is filed under the name Marmota monax (woodchuck). Lineage: Eukaryota; Metazoa; Chordata; Mammalia; Rodentia; Sciuridae. The record is from RNAcentral.